This 658-nucleotide ribosomal RNA is filed under the name Craniella zetlandica. RNAcentral describes it as "eukaryotic LSU rRNA". The stretch from base 1 to 153 matches the Rfam family "Eukaryotic large subunit ribosomal RNA", at positions 209 to 358 of the family's 3401-position model. The record is from RNAcentral. Lineage: Eukaryota; Metazoa; Porifera; Demospongiae; Tetractinellida; Tetillidae.
AGGGUGAUAGCCCCGUGCGUUGGCGGGGGCGUCCGAGGGCCGCUACCGUCUUCCGAGAGUCGGGUUGUUUGAGAUUGCAGCCCAAAGUGGGUGGUAAACUCCAUCUAAAGCCGAACAGGGGCACAACACCGAUAGCGAACAAGUACCGUGAGGGAAAGGUGAAAAGCACUUUGGAAAGAGAGUUAAAGAGACCGCGAAACCGUUAGGAGGGAAACGCAUGCAGCCGAACGGGCCCUCGUCGGGUUCAGGGGUCGGCGUGGCGCCGUACGUCGCGUGCCGGGCACUCUCGCGAGGCCCGCCGCGCGGUCGAUCGCCUCCCACCCCCGCACUCCCGACGGUCGUGGGCCGGCCAAGCGCGGUGGCGUGACGGCGCAGAGGAGGGCCGACGGGCAGGUAGUGCAGCCGGUCGUCGGUUUCGGCCGUAGGCGAACUUACAGCCGUCGGUCUGGCCUGCGCCGCUCCACCGAGGAGAGCGGUGGCCCGUUUCCACCCCAGCAGCACGGGACUCCCUCGGCCGAGGGAGGUCGGAGCGCUUCAGUUCGUUCGGCCUCCGCGCCGCGAGACUGCUUGCAGUGUCCGGCGUCGGCGUGCGGGUCCGGGCGGGAGACGUCUCACGGCCGGUGCUGCGGUGGCUUGGCGAGCCGUCGGCUCCAUUCGA